Molecule: long non-coding RNA, 711 nt
Organism: Lolium perenne
Lineage: Eukaryota; Viridiplantae; Streptophyta; Magnoliopsida; Poales; Poaceae
Source: RefSeq, a predicted model, not a curated record
AAAGGCAUUGACUUGUCCGGCCGGUUGCGUGGAAAUUGCCUUACGCAUCGUCUUCUCCCCUGACCUUCUCGGCUCCUCCUUAACUUUUCCGUUCCCCAAUCACCGCCAUGGCAUCGACGAUGGGGCGGCUCUGGUUCGUCGAGAUUUCUAGCCGUUUUGGAGGAAUUAAUGGAGGAGGAGAUCAUGAUUCAUUGAUUCCCAAGAAAUCUCUCCCCAAUUUGCAACGGCAAAAGAUUGAAGAAAGUGGGAAAUCAGCAGGGGAAUCGCCGAAUCGGCAACAACACGCAGUUGGGCAGGGACAUGAAGGCGGCCGGCGCAGCGGCAACAACGCCCGACGGCCAGCAGCAAGGGCCAGCACGGCAUCAUCUUGGCUGCAGCCUCCAGGUGCAUUCGUUUCAACUUUUAAUUGUAUGUCCUAAUUCAUUUUGUGUAGUGCCAACAUGUCAUUGAGAAAGUAUAUGUCACAAGAGAGAUUGAAUGCCUCAACAAAUUUUAGAAAAAAAUGGUUUACAUAAUUCUUGUCUAUUUUGCAAGUCAAUACAAGAUCAGAGUACAAGCUGGAGUGUUGGCAGGAGACCUGGAGUGCAAGAGCAAGCGUGAGCAGGAGCACGAGCUAGAAUUUGAGCUGAAAUGCAAUAAGAUGUGAGUAGCGGCCAAAAUUGUAUUCAAUGAUUAAAUUUCUAUGAAAUAAAACAUCAGAAAUCAUCUCUA